This 830-nucleotide ribosomal RNA is filed under the name Nigrospora globosa. Its description in RNAcentral is "Nigrospora sp. ZZ-2018a partial large subunit ribosomal RNA". It matches the Rfam family "Eukaryotic large subunit ribosomal RNA", at positions 81 to 938 of the family's 3401-position model. The record is from RNAcentral. Lineage: Eukaryota; Fungi; Ascomycota; Sordariomycetes; Amphisphaeriales; Apiosporaceae.
UAGUAACGGCGAGUGAAGCGGGAACAGCUCAAAUUUGAAAUCUGGCCCUUGGGUCCGAGUUGUAAUUUGUAGAGGAUGCUUUUGGUGCGGUGCCUUCCGAGUUCCCUGGAACGGGACGCCUUAGAGGGUGAGAGCCCCGUACGGUUGGACGCCUAGCCUCUGUAAAGCUCCUUCGACGAGUCGAGUAGUUUGGGAAUGCUGCUCUAAAUGGGAGGUAUAUUUCUUCUAAAGCUAAAUACUGGCCAGAGACCGAUAGCGCACAAGUAGAGUGAUCGAAAGAUGAAAAGCACUUUGAAAAGAGGGUUAAAUAGCACGUGAAAUUGUUGAAAGGGAAGCGUUUAUGACCAGACUUUUUCUAGGGGGAUCAUCCGGUGUUCUCACCGGUGCACUUCCCCUAGUUGAGGCCAGCAUCGGUUUCCGGAGGGGGAUAAAAGCUUCGGGAAUGUGACUCCCUCGGGAGUGUUAUAGCCCGUUGCAUAAUACCCUUCUGGGGACCGAGGUUCGCGCAUCUGCAAGGAUGCUGGCAUAAUGGUCAUCAACGACCCGUCUUGAAACACGGACCAAGGAGUCGAACAUUUAUGCGAGUGUUUGGGUGUUAAACCCUCACGCGUAAUGAAAGUGAACGGAGGUGAGAGCCCUUACGGGUGCAUCAUCGACCGAUCCUGAUGUCUUCGGAUGGAUUUGAGUAAGAGCAUAACUGUUCGGACCCGAAAGAUGGUGAACUAUGCGUGGAUAGGGUGAAGCCAGGAGAAAUCCUGGUGGAGGCUCGCAGCGGUUCUGACGUGCAAAUCGAUCGUCAAAUCUGCGCAUGGGGGCGAAAGACUAAUCGA